RNAcentral lists this small RNA (389 nucleotides) under Histoplasma capsulatum var. duboisii H88. RNAcentral's name for it is "Histoplasma capsulatum H88 hypothetical RNA". The record is from RNAcentral. Lineage: Eukaryota; Fungi; Ascomycota; Eurotiomycetes; Onygenales; Ajellomycetaceae.
GAGUGUAUUAUAGCAGCAAGGCAUAUCUUGUUUUAGCAUGCUCUAUUCAGUUGGAAUUGAUAGCCUUACUUUGACCUUUGAGUUCACGACGACAUUACACAUUCCUCUUUGGACGUCUUUUGGCCGGUCUCUAUGGUAGCCAUAUCAGCUGCUUGAGAUAUUGCCCAAUUUGCUCUUCUCAUCUGUCUUUCUUGAACAGAGUGUUGUUGCAACCAAGAGUACCAUACUUGUCCAACGCUAUCACCUAAGCUAGCCAUAAGGUCCGGCCUUUACUGGUAAUUCUAUAUUCCCCAUUUAGCACUCUAUGCACUUCAUGUGUUAGGCAUGGGAUACCUACUAAUUCCCCCGUGAUUCGAGAGCGGCAGUGAUUAACUAGCUCGGGGAGCCAG